Mus musculus (house mouse) is the source of this 1027-nucleotide long non-coding RNA. RefSeq annotates it as predicted gene, 40113. The record is from RefSeq and is a predicted model, not a curated record. The transcript has 2 exons. Lineage: Eukaryota; Metazoa; Chordata; Mammalia; Rodentia; Muridae.
GGAUGGAUGAAGGCAAGUCCCCAGUUAAAAACAAGCUGAAUAACAGUAGGUUAAGGUCUGUUUUAGUUUCACUGAUGGUUACAAAGCCCAUUUCGGGUGCAGUCAGGGGAAAAGGCCAUAACUGACUUUUAGGGAACAAAGGGCUUAGUGUAUUCCGCAGGCUCUGGCGAGGCUGGCGGUCAGGCUGGUUCUCACAGUCGGUAGGAAUAGGUCACGAAUGAGCUGAGAAUUUUCUGCUUCUUAACACGCCCAAAAUAAGACCGAGCAGAUCAUUUCCAGCAGGGUGGAGGGAAGGGAGAAGGGAGAACAGGAACUUUGCCAAAGUGGGGCAGGAGUAGGUCAGGCAAGGACCAGGUUUGCCUAGCACACCUUCUCAGUGAGAAAGAUGGGAUAAUUUGGUGGGUGUCUUUGUGAUAGCAGCUGUGACUCUUCCAGUCGGAAAUGGCUGCCUCCUGAACAUGAACAGAUGCAAUCCUGAGAACCUCUUUCAUCUCCUUGGCAGACUCUCUUUACUGCUUCUCCAUGAACACACUCUGCAGUUGCUCUUUGAUGAGUGAUACUAAAGCUUCCGACUGAAUUGUUCUCUUUGGAGACAAUUGCCUCUGAACUCCACAAACUGAACUGCACCGAUGGCACAAGCUGAACAGAACAGCAUGCACUCAACUACAUUCAACGGAACUUCACGGAACUCAGCUGAACUCAACUCCCCCUCUCCCCCCAGUCCCCAAACUCUCCCCCUCCACGCACUGACCUUAAAUCACCUGUCUCUCCUGCCUGCUUUCAUGAGAGCUGAGCAUAUCCUACCUCUGACUCAUUCUGUUAAAUCUGUUUCUGAUUCGUCACUUUAUCUGUGGCUCAAUUAGAUGUCAUUGUUUGGAAUUAAAUAUGUAGAUUAAAGAUGUAUGCUAAAGAAAUGUCUAUAUUUCAGCCUGAUUACACAGACCUAGGUCUCUGGAUGUAAUCCCCUGUAAUCCCUUGUCAGAGUAACCAUGUUGCUGGAUUAAAAUUUCUCUAUAGUAAUUCACUA